GGGGCUGUGGCUCAGCGGUCGAGCACUCGCCUGGCAUGUGUGAGACCCUGGGUUCGAUCCUCAGCACCA
This 69-nucleotide transfer RNA is filed under the name Ictidomys tridecemlineatus (thirteen-lined ground squirrel). RNAcentral describes it as "Spermophilus tridecemlineatus (thirteen-lined ground squirrel) tRNA". It matches the Rfam family "tRNA". Rfam says of the family: Transfer RNA (tRNA) molecules are approximately 80 nucleotides in length. Their secondary structure includes four short double-helical elements and three loops (D, anti-codon, and T loops). Further hydrogen bonds mediate the characteristic L-shaped molecular structure. tRNAs have two regions of fundamental functional importance: the anti-codon, which is responsible for specific mRNA codon recognition, and the 3' end, to which the tRNAs corresponding amino acid is attached (by aminoacyl-tRNA synthetases). tRNAs cope with the degeneracy of the genetic code in two manners: having more than one tRNA (with a specific anti-codon) for a particular amino acid; and 'wobble' base-pairing, i.e. permitting non-standard base-pairing at the 3rd anti-codon position. The record is from Rfam by way of RNAcentral. Lineage: Eukaryota; Metazoa; Chordata; Mammalia; Rodentia; Sciuridae.